Molecule: ribosomal RNA, 1440 nt
Filed under: Lacticaseibacillus rhamnosus
Lineage: Bacteria; Bacillati; Bacillota; Bacilli; Lactobacillales; Lactobacillaceae
Description: bacterial SSU rRNA
Rfam family: Bacterial small subunit ribosomal RNA
Source: RNAcentral
UGCAAGUCGAACGAGUUCUGAUUAUUGAAAGGUGCUUGCAUCUUGAUUUAAUUUUGAACGAGUGGCGGACGGGUGAGUAACACGUGGGUAACCUGCCCUUAAGUGGGGGAUAACAUUUGGAAACAGAUGCUAAUACCGCAUAAAUCCAAGAACCGCAUGGUUCUUGGCUGAAAGAUGGCGUAAGCUAUCGCUUUUGGAUGGACCCGCGGCGUAUUAGCUAGUUGGUGAGGUAACGGCUCACCAAGGCAAUGAUACGUAGCCGAACUGAGAGGUUGAUCGGCCACAUUGGGACUGAGACACGGCCCAAACUCCUACGGGAGGCAGCAGUAGGGAAUCUUCCACAAUGGACGCAAGUCUGAUGGAGCAACGCCGCGUGAGUGAAGAAGGCUUUCGGGUCGUAAAACUCUGUUGUUGGAGAAGAAUGGUCGGCAGAGUAACUGUUGUCGGCGUGACGGUAUCCAACCAGAAAGCCACGGCUAACUACGUGCCAGCAGCCGCGGUAAUACGUAGGUGGCAAGCGUUAUCCGGAUUUAUUGGGCGUAAAGCGAGCGCAGGCGGUUUUUUAAGUCUGAUGUGAAAGCCCUCGGCUUAACCGAGGAAGUGCAUCGGAAACUGGGAAACUUGAGUGCAGAAGAGGACAGUGGAACUCCAUGUGUAGCGGUGAAAUGCGUAGAUAUAUGGAAGAACACCAGUGGCGAAGGCGGCUGUCUGGUCUGUAACUGACGCUGAGGCUCGAAAGCAUGGGUAGCGAACAGGAUUAGAUACCCUGGUAGUCCAUGCCGUAAACGAUGAAUGCUAGGUGUUGGAGGGUUUCCGCCCUUCAGUGCCGCAGCUAACGCAUUAAGCAUUCCGCCUGGGGAGUACGACCGCAAGGUUGAAACUCAAAGGAAUUGACGGGGGCCCGCACAAGCGGUGGAGCAUGUGGUUUAAUUCGAAGCAACGCGAAGAACCUUACCAGGUCUUGACAUCUUUUGAUCACCUGAGAGAUCAGGUUUCCCCUUCGGGGGCAAAAUGACAGGUGGUGUAUGGUUGUCGUCAGCUCGUGUCGUGAGAUGUUGGGUUAAGUCCCGCAACGAGCGCAACCCUUAUGACUAGUUGCCAGCAUUUAGUUGGGCACUCUAGUAAGACUGCCGGUGACAAACCGGAGGAAGGUGGGGAUGACGUCAAAUCAUCAUGCCCCUUAUGACCUGGGCUACACACGUGCUACAAUGGAUGGUACAACGAGUUGCGAGACCGCGAGGUCAAGCUAAUCUCUUAAAGCCAUUCUCAGUUCGGACUGUAGGCUGCAACUCGCCUACACGAAGUCGGAAUCGCUAGUAAUCGCGGAUCAGCACGCCGCGGUGAAUACGUUCCCGGGCCUUGUACACACCGCCCGUCACACCAUGAGAGUUUGUAACACCCGAAGCCGGUGGCGUAACCCUUUUAGGGAGCGAGCCGUCU